RNAcentral lists this long non-coding RNA (524 nucleotides) under Zalophus californianus (California sea lion). Its description in RNAcentral is "lncRNA (ENSZCAG00015001042.1)". The record is from RNAcentral. Lineage: Eukaryota; Metazoa; Chordata; Mammalia; Carnivora; Otariidae.
GUUGAAUCUACAGUGAGAAGAGGAUGGAGAUAGUGCCUCUACCAUUAGGCAUGGAAUUUGAACCUUGAGGCAGGAGGACAAAGACAGAGUCAGCCUGCCACUGAACACAUCAACAAUGGCUUUCAGAAAUCAUGAAGCAGAGACAUGGUUCAUUGAAUUUGCUUUUAGGCAAAGAAUUUUCUGGAGGUUAAGGUAAUCAGACCACAAGAAACUACAUUCAGACAGAAGGCCCAGAAAUCCUGGACUAUGAACUGGACAUAUUUAUUUGGAUCAUUUGGGGAGAUAAAAAAAUUACUAAAAAUAAUUAUACCAGAAAAUUAUGGAUCAAUAAUCAAAAUUACAAGGUGUCAAGAGUUAAAUGGACUGAAACAAAACAAAAGAAACUGGAAGGCAAUGAGGUUUAUCUUAAUUCUAACCCUGAUUUGUAGUCUGAGAAGAACACAUCAUUUAGAAUCUCUGUGACUGGAUUUUUUUUUUCACCUUAGAAGAAAUGUCAUCAUAAUACCCAUCAUCUUCCACACAAG